RNA transcript from Glycine soja, 3427 nucleotides. It is a transcript of the gene named TMV resistance protein N-like, with no coding region annotated. The transcript is spliced from 6 exons. NCBI's taxonomy places the organism in Eukaryota, Viridiplantae, Streptophyta, Magnoliopsida, Fabales, Fabaceae. The record is from RefSeq and is a predicted model, not a curated record.
UAUCUUUUUCAUAUUUGUUCAAGUUUGAUUCUACACUCCCACCAUAUCAAUUAACCAUUAUCAUACUAAACUUGUUUCUUCUAAUAAUGGCUGCAACGACACGUUCCCUUGCAUCCAUCUAUGAUGUGUUCCUCAACUUCAGAGGGGAAGACACGCGCUAUGGUUUUACUGGCAAUCUCUACAAGGCUCUUUGUGACAAGGGAUUUCAUACCUUCUUUGACGAAGACAAGCUUCACAGCGGAGAGGAAAUAACACCUGCACUUUUGAAGGCAAUUCAAGAUUCCAGGAUUGCUAUUAUUGUGCUUUCUGAAAACUAUGCUUUUUCCUCAUUUUGUUUAGAUGAACUUGUAGCCAUCCUACACUGCAAGAGGGAAGGGCUGUUGGUUAUACCGGUCUUUUACAAAGUAGAUCCUUCUGAUGUUAGACACCAGAAAGGUAGUUAUGGAGAAGCAAUGACUAAGCAUCACGAAAGGUUCAAAGAUAAGAUGGAGAAGCUGCAGAAAUGGAGGAUGGCAUUGCAUCAAGUAGGUCACUUGUCUGGCAAACAUUUCAAAGAUGGAGAUGCAUAUGAAUACAAGUUUAUUGGGAGUAUUGUUGAGGAGCUCUCUAGGAAGAUUAAUCGUGCUUCUUUACAUGUUGCGGAUUAUCCUGUUGGUUUAGAGUCACAAGUGACAGAGGUAAUGAAGCUUUUGGAUGUUGGAUCCCAUGAUGGUGUCCACAUCAUAGGGAUCCAUGGAAUGGGCGGGUUAGGAAAAACAACACUUGCUCUGGCAGUAUAUAAUUUCAUUGCUCUCCAUUUUGAUGAAUCCUGUUUUCUUCAAAACGUGAGAGAAGAAUCAAAUAAACAUGGGUUAAAACACCUUCAAAGCAUCCUUCUUUCAAAAUUACUUGGUGAGAAGGACAUCAUCUUAACAAGUUGGCAAGAAGGAGCUUCAAUGAUACAACGUAGGCUCCGACGAAAGAAGGUUCUCUUGAUUUUAGACAACGCUGACGAGCAAGAGCAAUUAAUGGCUAUUGUUGGAAGCCCUAAUUGCUUUGGUCCCGGUAGCAGAGUCAUCAUUACCACUCGGGACAAACAUCUGCUAAAAUAUCAUGGCGUUGAAAGAACUUAUGAGGUGAAGGUUUUGAAUCACAAUGCUGCUCUUCAACUGCUUACUAGGAAUGCUUUUAAAAGAGAAAAAAUUGAUCCAAGUUAUGAGAACGUCUUGAAUCGUGUAGUAGCUUAUGCUUCUGGCCUUCCAUUGGCUUUGGAAGUCAUAGGCUCGGACUUGUUUGGAAAAACUGUAGCAGAAUGGGAAUCUGCUGUGGAACAUUAUAAAAGAAUUCCCAGGGAUAAAAUCCAAGAGAUACUAAAAGUAAGCUUUGAUGCUUUGGGGGAAGAACAAAAGAAUGUGUUUCUUGACAUCGCUUGUUGCUUCAAAGGGUAUAAAUGGACAGAGGUUGAUGAUCUACUCCAUGUUCUUUAUGGUAACUGCAAGAAGCAUCAUAUUGGGGUGUUGGUUGAAAAAUCUCUCAUAAAGUACUAUGAUGAUACUGUUGAAAUGCACGACCUGAUUCAGGACAUGGGUAGAGAAAUUGAGCGGCAGAGAUCACCAGAUGAGCCAGGGAAGCGCAAGAGAUUAUGGUCACCACAAGAUAUAAUUCAAGUUUUAAAACACAACACGGGAACUUGUAAAAUUGAAAUCAUAUGUUUGGAUCCCUCCAUAUCUGACAAAGAAGAAACAGUGGAAUGGAAUGAAAACGCCUUCAUGAAGAUGGAAAACCUUAAAAUACUUAUUAUUAGAAAUGGCAAUUUUUCGAUAGGUCCCAAUAAUUUUCCAGAAGGUUUGAGAGUACUGGAAUGGCAAAGAUAUCCUUCAAAUUGUUUACCGUCUAACUUUGAUCCGAUCAACCUUGUUAUAUGCAAGUUACCUGAUAGUUCCAUUACGUCAUUUGAGUUCCAUGGCUCAUCCAAGAAGUUGGGGCAUCUAACAGUUCUGAAUUUUGACAAGUGCAAAUUUUUAACACAGAUACCUGAUGUAUCUGAUCUUCCAAAUUUGAGGGAACUUUCAUUUCGAUGGUGUGAGAGUUUAGUUGCAGUUGAUGACUCAAUUGGUUUUCUGAAUAAACUUAAAGAAUUGAGUGCUGAUGGUUGCAGGAAGCUUACGAGUUUUCCGCCUCUCAACUUGACCUCUCUUGAAACACUUGAAAUUUCUGAGUGUUCCAGUCUUGAGUAUUUUCCAGAAAUAUUAGGAGAGAUGGAAAACAUACAGAAACUUCGUUUGACUGACCUUCCCAUAAAAAAAUUGCCAUUUUCAAUUCAAAAUCUUACUGGACUCCAAUGGUUAACCCUGGGGAGCUGUGGAAUUGUUCAGUUACCAUGUAGCUUAUCCAUGAUGCCCAAACUGUUGGAAUUCAAUAUUAGAGAUUGCAACAGGUGGCAAUGGGUAGAAUCGGAAGAAGGUGAAGAAAAAGUGGGCCCAACACAGUCUUCAACGGAACAUUGCUUUGGUGCCACGAAGUGCAAUUUAUGUGAUGAUUUUUUUUUAACAGGUUCCAAGAGGUUUGCUCUUGUAACAUUUUUAGAUCUAUCGGAGAAUAAUUUCACCAUCCUUUCCGAAUUCUUCAAAGAAUUGGAAUUUUUACAAACUCUUUUCGUGAGUGAUUGCGAGCAUCUUCAGGAAAUUAGAGGGCUUCCACCAAACUUAGAGUAUUUUGAUGCAAGAAACUGUGCAUCCUUGACUUCCUCGACUAAAAGCAUGCUUUUAAAUCAGGAACUGCAUGAGGCUAGACCAACCCAGUUUGUGUUUCCAGGAACAAGAAUACCAGAGUGGUUCGAUCAGCAAAAGAGUGGACAUUCAAUUUCUUUCUGGUUUCGUAAUAAACUCCCAGCCAAACUUCUUUGUCUUCUUAUUGCACUGUCUACUGAGAAUUUUAUCCUAUCUCCAGACGUGUUCAUCAAUGGAAAAUUUGAAGAAUUGGAGCCCUAUAAGACGGACGAAAUAGAAAGUAUGUCGAAAUUGGAUCAUACUUAUAUCUUUUAUCUCCAAAAGUUACCUUUCAAAAAUGGUAAUCUGUUUGAAGAAGUGGCUAGGGAAAAGGAAUGGAACCAUGUGGAGGUUAGAUAUGAAAGUGUGUUAGAGUUAGAGAGCUCACUCAUCAAAGGAAGUGGAAUCCAUAUAUUCAGAGAAGAAGGCAGUAUGGAGGAAGAUAUUCGAUUUGAUGAUCCAUAUCUCAGCAGCUCUGCAUCAGAAAGCCCCUCCUUCCUACAAACCAUAGCUUUGGGGACACGCAAGUUUUCCAUUGCUUUUUUCUUAUUUUUUUCAUGUUUUUUUAUUUUAUUAUUUUGGUUUCAGUCUUCAAAAAACGACUUAAUCCAACUGGUGUUCGCCCUAUCUUCAUAAUGUACUUUUGACUCAUUUAUAUUCAUCUUUCAUGACUUUAUGCA